UGGUAGUGUAUUGGACACCCAUGGCAGUCACGGGUAACGGGGAAUUAGGGUUCGAUUCCGGAGAGGGAGCCUGAGAAACGGCUACCACUUCUAAGGAAGGCAGCGGGCGCGUAAAUUACCCAAUCCUGAUUCAGGGAGGUAGUGACAAGAAAUACCAACUCGGAUCCCUCUGGGAUUGCGAGAUUGCAAUGAGAACAAUUUAAACCACUUAUCCAGUAACAAUUGGAGGGCAAGUCUGGUGCCAGCAGCCGCGGUAAUUCCAGCUCCAAUAGCGUAUAUUAAAGUUGUUGCAGUUAAAAAGCUCGUAGUUGAAUUUCUGGCCAAUCUUGUGCUGCGCUUGUAGCCGGUACGAGGUUUGGUCAUCCGUAAGGGAAGUUAGUACGAACUUCAAUGGUCGGGUAGGGGAACUUACAAUUUACUGUGAAAAAAUUAGAGUGUUUCAGGCAGGCAAUCGCUUGGAUACUCCAGCAUAUAAUAAUGGAAUAGGUCUUUGGUCGAUUUGUUGGUUUGAGAUCAAAGUAAUGAUUAAUAGGGACAGUUGGGGGCAUUCGUAUUUAAUUGUCAGAGGUGAAAUUCUUGGAUUUAUUAG
RNAcentral lists this ribosomal RNA (589 nucleotides) under uncultured ciliate. RNAcentral describes it as "SSU rRNA". It matches the Rfam family "Eukaryotic small subunit ribosomal RNA", at positions 326 to 932 of the family's 1831-position model. The record is from RNAcentral. Lineage: Eukaryota; Ciliophora.